Molecule: long non-coding RNA, 433 nt
Organism: Mauremys mutica (yellowpond turtle)
Lineage: Eukaryota; Metazoa; Chordata; Testudines; Geoemydidae
Exons: 3
Source: RefSeq, a predicted model, not a curated record
CAAACCUGAAAUCACUGCAGCUGGGUCAGGAGGUAGAGGCCCCCAGCGCAUCCCAGUCAGCACCGACCUACCUGCCAGAAUCCUUGGGCCUCCACCCACCCAGGACUACAAACUGAUAGAACUGGUCCUGAGCUGGACUUGACCCUGAGGUAUUCCCCUUAUUGCAGAUAGGGGAUUUCUGCACUGUGUGGGACUGGUGAGCAGGAGGCGAGGACCUUAAGGCUGCUUUGCAGGUCUCCUCGCUGGAUCUGGCAACCUUGAGAUCUCGGCUUCCCAGGUUAUCAACAACUCAGAGACUCCAAAACCUCCUGAAGAAGCUGCGAAAAAGCAAAGAAGACCUGCUGCAAGCAGUUAUGGAUCACUCUGUCACAGAGAAUCAAAAAGUGCAGGACUGGAGGGAAAGGGAAAGCAGGAUCCGCCAGAAAAACGCAGC